This is a long non-coding RNA of Centrocercus urophasianus (Greater sage-grouse), 440 nucleotides long. RefSeq lists it as uncharacterized. The record is from RefSeq and is a predicted model, not a curated record. Lineage: Eukaryota; Metazoa; Chordata; Aves; Galliformes; Phasianidae. The transcript is spliced from 3 exons.
ACCUCUCAGGAGAAACAGCAGCAUGAAAACUGUGCCUGCCCUCCUGCUCGUGGGGAUGCUCAUCCUCUGGGCUGAGCUGCCAUCAGGCACUGCCUGGUCCUGCCCUGAGGUCCACAUCACCUGUGCCAUGGUCAACCCGAGGAACGACUGCUACAGCGACCGGCAGUGCCCGCGUGGCAAGAAGUGCUGCAAGACCUUCUGUGGGCGGCGAUGCAUCUCGCGCAUCAACCUGACCUACGUGUGAGCUGCUGCUCCCAGCAUAGCCAGAGAGUGCCUGUGUCCCCGUGCCAUCUCCAGCCCCAUGCACCUGCAGAAGGACCAGCUCGCAGGGGACAGGGACAGCUUCGUGCUCGCACUCUGAGAUCUUCUCUGCUGCUAUGUGCCAUCUUCUCACCCUCUUCCAUCCUUAUCCGCUGCUGUUACAACAAAUAAAAGCUUGU